CAGUCGCCGCGGUAAUACGAAGGGGGCUAGCGUUGCUCGGAAUGACUGGGCGUAAAGGGCGCGUAGGCGGCGGCCAAAGUCAGGCGUGAAAUUCCCGGGCUCAACCUGGGGGCUGCGUUUGAUACUUGGUUGCUUGAGUGGGGAAGAGGGUCGUGGAAUUCCCAGUGUAGAGGUGAAAUUCGUAGAUAUUGGGAAGAACACCGGUGGCGAAGGCGGCGACCUGGUCCUUUACUGACGCUGAGGCGCGAAAGCGUGGGGAGCAAACAGGAUUAGAUACCCCCGUAGUCCCUGUCUCUUAUAC
RNAcentral lists this ribosomal RNA (301 nucleotides) under uncultured bacterium. RNAcentral describes it as "partial 16S ribosomal RNA". It matches the Rfam family "Bacterial small subunit ribosomal RNA", at positions 509 to 807 of the family's 1533-position model. The record is from RNAcentral.